Molecule: non-coding RNA, 31 nt
Filed under: Mus musculus (house mouse)
Lineage: Eukaryota; Metazoa; Chordata; Mammalia; Rodentia; Muridae
Source: RNAcentral
UGCAGAGUUUACAAUGUAUUGUGGUGCAAUU